RNAcentral lists this ribosomal RNA (580 nucleotides) under uncultured rumen bacterium. RNAcentral's name for it is "bacterial SSU rRNA". It matches the Rfam family "Bacterial small subunit ribosomal RNA", at positions 182 to 779 of the family's 1533-position model. The record is from RNAcentral.
CAGGUCGCAUGGUCUGUAUGCCAAAGAAUAAUCGCUGAAAGAUGGCCUCGCGUCUGAUUAGCUGGUUGGUGAGGUAACGGCCCACCAAGGCGACGAUCAGUAGCCGGACUGAGAGGUUGACCGGCCACAUUGGGACUGAGAUACGGCCCAGACUCCUACGGGAGGCAGCAGUGGGGAAUAUUGGGCAAUGGGCGCAAGCCUGACCCAGCAACGCCGCGUGAAGGAAGAAGGCUUUCGGGUUGUAAACUUCUUUUGUCAGGGACGAGAAGAAGACGGUACCUGACGAAUAAGCCACGGCUAACUACGUGCCAGCAGCCGCGGUAAUACGUAGGUGGCAAGCGUUGUCCGGAUUUACUGGGUGUAAAGGGCGUGUAGCCGGGUUGGCAAGUCAGAUGUGAAAUCUAUGGGCUUAACUCAUAAACUGCAUUUGAAACUGUUGAUCUUGAGUAUCGGAGAGGCAAUCGGAAUUCCUAGUGUAGCGGUGAAAUGCGUAGAUAUUAGGAGGAACACCAGUGGCGAAGGCGGAUUGCUGGACGACAACUGACGGUGAGGCGCGAAAGCGUGGGGAGCAAACAGGAUU